ACACAGUAGUACCGCUUUUUUUGCCUUUGAGACAGGACUUCCCCUUGUCUCCCUAAAUUGUCCUAGAAUUUGCCUGCUUCGGUCACCCGAGCGCUGGGGAUGCCAGGCAUGGGCCACCGCAGCCAUCCUUCAAACAUCAAGGAAGUAACUUUCCCCGCUUAAGACCUCAGGGCCGGCAGAGAAUAAAACUUUGCAGGAAUCAUCAGGUGAAGCCACGCCCACAAUGUUUUGGACCCGAAAGUGUAGACUUUGUUCCUGAGAUGGUUGGACUCGGGAAACUAUCUCCUAACGGAGACAAGCAGAAGUGACCAUCAUGCACUGAGACCAGGGACUCCAAUGACAGCUCAUGCAGAUCCCAGAGGAAUUUGGGCUUUGUCCUGCCUUCCUGAGGUGUCCUGUGCAGAAGGUGUCAUAAACAGGCUCACUUCUGAAGGGGAUUGAUCCAGGAGACUUUCUGUAGCAUCCUGUUUAGGGCAGAAACGUUGGGAGCCUAUGGAUCUAUAGGAGCAGAGAAGUUCCUGGGACUCAAGAAUGUCUCAUGGUAUAUACCCCAUAGGAACAAUAUUUCUCAGGACAUCUAAGGCCCCCUGGUGUCCUGGUGUGUCAAUGUCUGGAAUCUUGCUGCUACCUCCAGAAUGUUGGAGAAGAAAGCAUUUAACUGGGGCUUGCGUACAGUGUUGGAGUUAGCUCAUGACCACCGUGAUGGGAAGCAGCAGACGUGGCACUGGAGCAGUAGAGAGUGUUGCACGCUAAUCCAUGGGCAGCAGGUUUGCAGCUAGACUGAAUGGAAGUGAAGUUUCCUCAGAUCCAAUAUGGUCACACACAGCCCCUCUGCAGACAUCAUGCACAGAGCAGAGUCUGCGCCAACUGCUUGACCUACACCAACAAGCAACUCUCCCAAGUCCACGGUUUCCACAACCCAGUGGCUUAAUAAUUCUUUGAUGCUGCAUGAUCUGUCCCCAUAAAGGACCGGUAUGGCAGCCUCACAGUCCCAAACCAUCCCCAGCAGCCACUGCUCUUCGCUCCUGUUCCUAUGAUAUUGUAUUUUCUAGGCUAUCACACAAAUGAAAUGAUGUCACGUGUGGCCUUCUCAGUCUGCCGUUUAAGGGAACGCAAAAGUGUCUCUUUGUUCCCCGGGGCAAGCCAGAGACAAGUAGCCUCUGGAGCCAGGCAUGAAACUUGAGGCAGGAACAGCUGUUUUAAGCCCAAGGGAAACAUGUGCCAAAGAGGCCACGCUCCAAAUAAAGCUUUCUCAUCUAACUGCAGCAGAACACUCCAGCUAUACACACACACACACACACACACACACACACACACACACACACACACAGUGACCCAGUCACAGGCGUACAGUAGCAAAGGCCAUCUCAGCAGACAAUAAAAAUGCUGAUUCUCCACAGAGACAUUCACAAACAGGACUGUGAGCCAAGUCAGGAAGCCACAGCUGUCUGGGGAAAUCUGAAACCCAGGCUCAGUCGCUCAAAGAUGCUUGGAACACUGCAGCUUCUCACACACUCCCUACACAUGAAAGAAAAGUCAAGUGCCCAACAGCAGGGAAAACGGGGACUUCAAAGGACCUCAAAGGCUCAUCCCACUUACAUCU
This is a long non-coding RNA of Mus musculus (house mouse), 1603 nucleotides long. RefSeq annotates it as predicted gene, 30881. NCBI's taxonomy places the organism in Eukaryota, Metazoa, Chordata, Mammalia, Rodentia, Muridae. The transcript is spliced from 4 exons. The record is from RefSeq and is a predicted model, not a curated record.